AUGUCAUGAUGAGAGCACUUUUGUAAUAACUCCUUGAAACUCUCCCAUGUCUCAUAUAAAGAUUCUUCGCCAAGUUGCUGAAAUGAAGUGAUUUCAUUACGAAUUU
Small nucleolar RNA from Gossypium raimondii (Peruvian cotton), 106 nucleotides. It matches the Rfam family "Plant small nucleolar RNA R71". From Rfam's summary of the family: R71 is a member of the C/D box family of snoRNAs containing the C (UGAUGA) and D (CUGA) box motifs. Multiple nearly identical copies of this snoRNA have been identified in Arabidopsis, and it is thought to function as a 2'-O-ribose methylation guide for 18S ribosomal RNA. NCBI's taxonomy places the organism in Eukaryota, Viridiplantae, Streptophyta, Magnoliopsida, Malvales, Malvaceae. The record is from Rfam.